Long non-coding RNA from Passer domesticus (house sparrow), 448 nucleotides. RefSeq lists it as uncharacterized. NCBI's taxonomy places the organism in Eukaryota, Metazoa, Chordata, Aves, Passeriformes, Passeridae. The record is from RefSeq and is a predicted model, not a curated record. The transcript is spliced from 3 exons.
GACUGAUUAUGAGCCAACAAUGUGCUCCCAUUGCAAACUGGGCAAACCACAUGCUGGUCUAUGUCAGGACUUUUGUGGCAUGCAGAACAAGGGAGUUACAAUCUCCACUGCUGGGUGUCCAGUUCAUUCAAGAAACUGAAGAAAGAGCAGAGAGCUACCAAGACCAGGAAACAGAACAAAUGUGCUAGAAACAGAGUCUAGGGAGCUGGAAUUAGUCUGGUGAAGAGGAGUCUGAAGGGGAAAUCUAAUAGGAGCCAACAAAUAGGUUGAGCUGGUGGAGCUGUUCUUAGCAGGCAGAUACAUUCUAGGUGUUCCUAUGCCAGCCUGAGAGCUGUGAUGAGUGGCCAGCAGCAGACAAUCUCUGAGUUGCCACCACUACCAAAAAAGGCAACAGACCUCCUAAUCAAGUCAGUUAUGAAAGAGCUCAUUUGCGGGGAGAGGAGGCAAG